Haliotis rubra (blacklip abalone) is the source of this 1662-nucleotide long non-coding RNA. RefSeq lists it as uncharacterized. Lineage: Eukaryota; Metazoa; Mollusca; Gastropoda; Lepetellida; Haliotidae. The record is from RefSeq and is a predicted model, not a curated record. The transcript has 3 exons.
GAGGUGUCCUUUGAUGAAAGGAAAAUGCACCCCAAACCAUGAUACCCCCGCCUCCAAAUGGCAAACGUUGGUUGACGUUGACGUCAGCAAAACACUCUCCUGGACGCCGAUACACACAAGUUCUACCAUCAUAUUGAACUGUAGAGUAUACCUAGACUCGUCGGAGAGAAGAACUGACGCCCACUGAGCACGUUGCCAACGGACAUGGCGUCUACACCAGUCACGUCAUGCCGCCCUGUGUCGCUGAUUGAGUGAAGAUUGUUCCUCCUCAGUCGGUUCCUGACGGUCUCAUCAGAUACCAGGGUACCUGUGGCAGCUCUCAGUUGGUCACGGAGUUGUCUGGCAGUUACUCUGCGUUGUCGGACGGCCAUAUUUGUCAGGAAUCGGUCUUCUCUAGGAGUUGUUGAUGGAGACCUGCCAGAACGUGGUCGAUUAUUCAGCGUUCCAGUCACACGAAACCGUUGCCAUAACCUCCCAAUGACACUCUGACUCACAUUUAGUCUCCGAGCCACACUGCGUUGAGUUUCACCAUCUUGAAGCCAGGCAAGAGCUCUUCCUCUGUCUGUCAUGAUCAGUUGACGUCUUGCCAUUGUUGAAUUUCAAGUGACAAUAGCACUGUGACAAUUGCAAGUUUUAUAGGGAAAAUAAGCAUGCACAGCACUAAUUCCACGAACAGUGGUGGCGUUUUUGUGAAGUACUCGAUGUUUCAAUUUGUUCAUUUUUUAACACCCUACCACAUGAUGACUAUUGGCACCACGGUUAUCUGCAGCCUUUAUCCAGGUUCUGCAAUGUUUUUCAAUGACGUACCAUCCAGGGAAUGUAAAAAUUUCAUUCAUAUGCAAUGCAACCAACCUCAUCAGUAACAUUACAUGAUGAUAUCGCAUGACCCUUAACUUGUUUUGAGUAGUAAUAUAUAUAUUGUUUACUUUUUGUGACCCAAUGUCGUCAAACAUGUUGAGAUAGGGCUGCAGAAAUGAUUUCACAAUGGACUCAAUUUGGAAACUGAACUUUAAAACUAACAAAAUAUAAUCAGGAUUAUUUACCAUGAAGAAAUGAGAAACCCACAUGCCCCCAUAGACCCAACGUUUCAUGAAAGGUAUAAAUAUUCAAUCUUUAGAUUUUUUAUCGCUUGCAAAGUUAUGACAAUCUCAGUGGCACCUGUAUUCCAUGAAAUCUUUUCUACCAUCACCAUUAGAACAGGUUGGGCGAAACCGUAACGUGUAUUGAGUCUUUACUGAAAAACGAAAAGUAUGUUUUUACCAUCGUACAUCUUGUAUUUCAAAGUUUUUGUACUAUGAAAAACAUAUUACAUGUAGUGUACAUUGAAUGUUAUUGCUAGUGCUAGAUGUGGUCCUUCUAAACAAAGAUAAUGUUCACAUGAGACUGAUAGAAUCUGUUCAUGUGUGUGUUACUCUCACAAAACGCUUAUAAAGCCUAUAAAGUAUAUGAGACACUUUUAUACAUAUAUAUAUAUACUGAGAGAAACAAAGACAGGAACUCGGAAAUAUCAAGCGUUCCUUUAAUAUCAUCAAGUUUUAAUCACCAGCUUUGAAUAGCGCAGUGGGGGGGGAAAUCUGAGAAUAAGUAUAGGAACAUUGCCAUGAAGUGGCGUUCCCUUAUUUGUUUCCCUCAGUAUAUUUGAUCCAGAUCGUUUGUCACAUA